CCAUAUCGAUUUUGCCAGAACAAGCAUAUUUCUUGGAAUACAUAGUUUAAUAUCGAAUUAAUUAUUUUUUUAUUUUACCUAAAAACAGAACAGUAUACAACACUUAUUAUAAAACGAUUUAUAGGUUUUCAAUUGAUAUUACUGAUCUUGAAGUUGGAACUAUUUUUUGCGGAAAGUGCGCGUAAGAAUACCAGUACGCGCUGUGAGCUGCGGUUAUAAAUAGGACUGUUGAGAGGUAGCUGUAAGCAUUCCCGUUUUUACUUUCAUACGGUGUGCACUGUGUCUCGCUCAGUGGUCGGACUCAAAAGACCCGUUUCUCGGUAUGUGAAGUUGGAGAUUCUACACGAAGGGAAAUACGAGCAGAUACAGUCUCGCUGUUUGAGAUGGAAAUGGGAAGGGCGUCAGGCGUGGCUGACUCUGGUGGCCUUGGGCACGAGGAACCUCGGGAGCCACGACCUCGCGCUUGAUGGCCUGUGUGUGCCUGUCACCGGUGUGGUUUGUAAAUCGUAUCAAAAACAUUUUUAUUUCUUUUGUAUAAAAGUUGUGUCAAUAGUAGGUGUUUACAAACUUUUUUUACAGUUUUAUUUUAUCAAAUUUGGAAUACAUGUACGCGUUGAAUUAUUUUGUUGUAGAAUAUUUUUUUUUUUUAUUAAACUCGAAGCGUGAUUCUUAUUGUAAGUGUAUAAUAUUCAAACUAUAUUUAUAAAACCAAAUUACCAAACAAAAUAAAUUGUUAAAGAAUAAAUACAUUAUAAAAAAAAUUAAAAAGGCUACUGAUUUUCCACAUAAUAUGUUCAUUCUUAAUCUAUUAAUUACCUCACUGCUUUUCAGUAUGGCAUUCGUCUUGCGAUAUCAUUGCUAGAGCAGCAAAAGAAAGCAGUCUGGGUUAUCAGCAGCAUCGUUGGCCUAUACAUUCUCAAAAUGAUUGUGGUGAGCGGAAUGUUUGUCUUGUGAAAGAAUGGGAAAGUUUGUUUUUUAGACAUGGCCAAACGCGGUACAGCCCGGUCCAUUUUCACAAUGGUUGUUGUACACAUACAACUUCGCACAUUCAUGUAUGGUGCACUAGCUUCAUCAAUAAUGCGUCCUACCACAUACAAAGAGAGCAAAAGAUGAAAAAUUUGGAAGCUAUUGAAAGGGUGAGCGGGUCAAUCUAUAACAAAUUCCCCGAAAAAGUAUGUUUUCCCAGGUUUAGCAGAGACUAAUAUUCAUGGAGUGUUUAAAUCAACUAUGGAUCAUAGAGCAUCCUUUAAUCUACAGUCCACAACUACACGCGUCAUUUUAAUCAUUUAUGAGAGCUUACAAGUACUUGGCAAAAUUUCUCCAGGUACGGAGGUAUUUGCAUGGCAUUUGAAAUAGUUUAUUCAGAAAACUAAACAAAUACAUUGAAAUUACCGUGAAAAGUCAUAUUAUCUUUAAAUUAAGUAGUAUUGUUGUGUGUAUACAUAAGUUUUGCUCUUAUGGAGCUCGAUUAAUGUGUUUUCGCAGACCAUUUUUGAACAGACACCAACAUUUGCUCUUCAGGCAUCAAAGGGUUAGGGUAUAUACAAAGGACAAUUCUGAGGAAGAAUAAUCAAUAGUCUUCUAUUUGUAUUGUCAGGUAUUCGAAAAUUUUAUGAUCUCAAGUAAACAGUAUUUUAUAAUUGCAAAAAUACUGAUAGUUUCACUUAGUUUUUCUACUCUAUGAUAUGGUUUCAUUUGAAAAACUUUUGUUUAAUGGUGAAAGCUUGUAAUAAAUCAUCUAAUUUACCUGUUUUCUAAAUGUAUAGCAUAGUAGGAAAAUAGUUAUGUCAUAAUUUCUACAAGAGCAUAUGUGUCAGCAAUUAAAAUUUUAAGUAAUUGUAACAAUACAUGAAGCAUUCAUAGAGAAAUAUGAAAUAUAAUUUAUCUAUUAAUGAAACGAUAUAAGAAAAAUAAUGCCAAUUUCACAGCAGUAAAGAUCACACAUAAAUAAUGAGAAUGUGUAGAUAAUUUCAAAAUUGAUAUUUGUUUUACAAGUUUUGAGUUUUCAUUACAUUGAUUUAAAGAAAAAAAUAUAUAAUCUUUCCAUUAGUAUGUUUCUAUAUUAGAAUAACGAUUUACUGUGAACACACAGGAUAAAAUGGAUAAGUUCAUAAAAUUUUCUUUUCUUACAAUGGAAUUAUCACAUAUAUUUUUCUCCAUAUUAGGGCCCAAUAAUGUCUUCACAGAUCGUUUACUGAAGAAAUGAUAUUAUCAUCUCGAGAAUUUAAUUAAACAGUUAAUCAAACCAAAAUUAAAGUUGUGAGUUUUUAAUAUGGUUUUUUUAAUAUAAACUUCAAUAAUUAAUUGUUAAUAUGGAUAUUCUAUUUAAUAAUAUAACACAUGUUUAAUUAUUCAUGUUUAUAAGUAUUAUAGCAAUAAUUAUUUUUUUUUUUUAUUAGUCCACGUAUGAAGAGCAAAACUUUACUAUUAAGGUAUAAAUGAAUUUAAUAUUUAUAUAAAAUAUUAAUAAUUGGAAAAUUUCAGUACUCAAUUAAUACCAAAAGCAGAACAAUAAUUUGUUCGUUAAAUAAGUAGUUUGUGGUAUUGUAUCAAAACAUAAUUUCUUUACUCAUUGUGUUAUUAUUGAUAACCUGUUUUUAUAAAGAAAAAAGUUAAUAAACUUUUUUCAGGUUUAGUGCCAUAUAAUUAUAUUUUAUAGUCAAAGAAUAAACUAUAAAUUGAAGGUUUGCUCUAUUAUGUAAGUUACUUAUUUUCAGUACAAAAAUUUGUUUUAAGAAAUAAUUGGAAAAAGUUAGAUUCUUCAGUUGAUAAUUUAUCAACCAUUUAUUGUAUUUAAGCUCUAAGUGAGCCAAAAAAUAACUAUUUUUACAGACUGCCCAUUAAUAGUUCACCCGGUAUCCAAAACACAAGUUACUGCUGUAAUAUAAUUCAGAAAACUAGAUAUCAUUCUGCCAUGAUCUGUAAGAUUGUAUGUUAUGGUAAAUACGUAUAUCCAUUCCCUUUUAUAAAUGAUUUAAUAACAAUUCUUGAAAAUAGUUUUUCUAUAUAGGGAGUAGGGGGGGGGGAUUAAAAAAAACAAUCUGUUUACACUUUAGCUCAAUAAAACUAUGCGGUUGGCUGAGAAUUUGCUACUCCCCAUGUUUCCAUGGAAUUUGGAUGAUCAAUGUACACCGAUCACAAAAGUACAUUUCAGAUUCAUAAUUGGUAAUUUCAUAUUUUUAUUGUAUUAUAAAAAUGGGAAGGUUAGGGAUUUUUUUGAGCUUCAGGAAAUCCAAUACACUGAAUUCAUUUCCCACUUUUCAAAGCCAAACACAAAUGAGAAGUGGCAAGGAGUUUUUAAUAUGUUAUGUAAUCUAAAUUAAGGUAUGAAUUUUUUCAAUAUAUUUUUGUAUAAAGAAGGCAGAUGUUUGUUUUAUGCUCCAGGAAGUCUAAAUAAUUAAUCUUCAGAUCAGAAAAGUUUAAUAUUCAAUCUUAUAGAGAUUAUGUGAAUAUGUAAAUACAAAUUUGCAGUAUAUACAUAAUUUAUAAAGUUACUUGUAUAACUUUUUUAAAUUUGUUUAAAGUUAAUCAGUGUAAAUUGCUAUUUUUUACUCUGUAUAAUUGACGUAAAUAGUUUUCAAAAAAAACUACAUAAGGAAACAUUAGUCCUGUACAAUCCGCGAUAUAUCAAGUAGAAUGUGAGUAUGAAGAAGUUAUCAUUUUGUGGGAAACAAAAGUGUUUAAUUUAAAAGGUUCAGAAAGAAAACACUGGAUGGCUAGAAAUCUGAAUCAAAGUUUGAAAAAUAUUAAUGCCUUGGCCAUAAGAGUAUAACAAUGAGAAACUUGACAAUUUUUUUUAUAAUUGCAUGCAAGGUAACCAAGUUUUGUUAAAUAAAAUAUAUUAUUUAAUGAGUUUGGAAUGCUGAUGAAAAUAUGAUGGAAGAAGUAAUUUAUUAGAUUCUAUAAAUUUGGAAUAUUGCUUUGUACUGAAAGGUAAUAUUUUUAUUAUAUAAAAAUAUAGAAUUUUUAAAUUCAAGUUCAUGAUAUAAUUUUGAAUGUUAACAUUGUAAUUAACAAUUUGACUAAGUUUUUAGAUAGUGUGCAAUACUUAAGUAUUAUUUAUGAAUGCCUUAUUUUGUCUUAUAUAAAAAUGAAAUUUAGAAUUAAGAUUUUUAUAUUUAUUUUUCAAUUUAUUAGAUUCAUAAAUGAAACAGUGGUCAGUUUUAUUUUUAUAUAAGAAAUAUAGUCGAAGCCUAACCAUUAUUAAAACAUACAAGUAAGUCAUUUUUCAACAGUUCAUCUUCAUUUUAAAAGAAUAUUUUCAGUGUUAUGCAAGAUAUGGGCAAAAAAAGAAAUAAAUCAAGUAUAUGGUCAACAAAACUAAUAUUCAUAAAGAAGAUAAAUAAUAUAUGAAUGAAUAUUACAAAUUUAUUAGUUUAUUUAGCAAAAUACAUUGUACUUAUACAAUAUUGUAUUGCAUAUAAGUUUAGAUAUCAAGUUCAAUUAAAAUUAUACUUAAUUAAUACAAGAAAAAAAAUUUGAGUACAAGUUGAUAAGUAUAAAUUACCAAAAUAACAUCAAUGAAAAUUGCUUACAAUAUUUUUUGCUCUUCAGCUAUACAAAAUGAUAUACAAAAUUAGUGGUUUACAUUUUAAUUAGUCAUUGCAGUAAGUGAUUGUUAUUGGCAUAAUAAUAAGUUUGAUACAUUUGUUUUUUAUAACAGUUGUGGCUUAUGCAAUUAAAUUUUUAUGUUGUGCAAGAAUAUCUAAUAAGUAUGAUUUUUAUUAAGUUGUAAUUCAGUUCAGUUAUGCAAUUAUGAAGUGGUGAGUGUAUAGUUAGUUUGGUGAAGAACUUGCAUAAAUACUUGUUAUUUCAUUUUCUAAGAUAUAAAUUUUUUUUCCAAUAUAUUUCUUAGGGGGGAAAAUUGGGUACAACUAAUUUACUUCUAAAAAUUAUAGGUAUUUGUAAUGAAAUUGGUAAAGGAUCCAGUUUAUGUUAAAUAUCAAUAGCUAAUGUCUUAGUUUAAUUUAAAAAAUAGAAAGAUUGACUUGGAUAAACAACAAUUCAACAAAUGUUUUAAUGCAGCUUCAAAAUCUAUUAGUCCACAUGAACAUUGGCCUUGAAAAUGUAAAGUAUUUAGAAUCAUUAUAUAGCUGUAAAUGGAUGGUUAUUGGAUGUAUGGAAUCUGGAUAGGAUAGAAAAAUAAUACCAAUUUACUACUUCUUUUAUACAUGUCAUUAGUUAAAACUCUUCACAAAUGCAUGCAGCAAAACAAAGAGGAACAAAAUACUAUAAUUUGACAUCUUUCAUGAUCUUAGAACGUGAGUGUAGUUUUUUUUUAACAAUAUUUCUAUCCCUAUUAUUAAAUUGUUAUAGAACACAAAAACAAAAGCUUAGGAAGCUUAUCAACCUGUCAACCACUGCAUUGUUGGGCACCAUUACUUAGGGGAAUGUUUUGGUAGAAUGACAUCUAAGACAGACUUUUUUUUGGCAGAAUUUUAAUUGGUUUAAUAGGAUUUACUAAAUCAUUUGCCCACUUUGAGACAUUGGUUUGGAUAUCAAAUUAUUCAGGAAAUUUUCAUUCGCACAUAUUUGUUUGCCCCUUGCAUUUCCUUUAGAAGAUAUCUUGGGUAUUAACUCUAGAGUGUUUAUACUGAAGUCCACUUUCAUUGUCAGAUCUUCAGGGUCCUUUGGAAAAUAAGAGAGGGCUUAUGGAGUUUGGUAUUUGAAUAUCUUUUGAAGAUAAAUCACUUUCUGAGUUAUAGUCUAGCAAUUGAGUGUUGUCAUUACUAUUUUACAUUCUUCCCUUAAGAUGUUCAUCCAUUUUUGUCAGAACAAAAGACGGAUUUUAUUGUUUCGAAGUCCAUUACAGAGCAAUUGUGGGUAUAAAAGCAGAAUUCCAGCAAAAAAGCAUUUUUUUUUAACCAUAUAUUUUUAUUUAAAUGAAAUAUCUUAUUUUCAUAAAAUAAAUAAUACAAAUGUUCAAAAUAAGAAUUGUAUGAAAAGAAAACAAUCGACAAAAACAUUGAAAUAAAGAUUAAAAUUGCAAUUAGAAUAAAAAAAGGAAAAAAAUCAUUAAAAGAAAGAAAUAGAUGUAUAUUACAAAAAACAAAAAAAUAAACAACACCAAGCAGAUCAUGGGGAUUACAAGGAUACGGAAGCGGAUUUAUCCAAUUUAGUGAUAGGACAUGGAGCUAUAGUCUACUAGGCAUAGGGAAAUGACAACACAGAACAGCAAAAAAAACAAAAUAUUUUCAUUCUGCAUUUUUAUAGCCAAAUUUGAUGUCAAAUUUAAAAAGAUAGUGAAAUACAAGAAACCACUUGCAUUGCAAGGUCUAUAAAUGCAAUGUGAUUUAUUAGAAUAAUUUUUUAAUAAACCUACAAGUAUUGCAAAACAACAUGGAAGUGUAAGAGACCAAGUGUAGACCAAGAUCUAUAUGGACAAAGACGGUAACAUGAGACUUCAUGAAUAUGAAGAAAUUGACAGUAGCAUAGAACUUCAAAAAUUUAAGUAGAAACAGCAGUCUGGAAUGAACAGAAAUUUGUAAACCAAGAUGAUGCACUAACAAUUUAGAAAACUUCUAAGUUAAUUAGGUGGUGUGAUCUAAAUAUUUUUUUUUCGAUAUACAUAUAAUCAUUGUUAUCUAUUUUUUUAAAGAUAAAAUUUGAAUCAAAAUUUAAAACUUCAUACAAAUUUUUAUAUUGCCAUAAAAUUAGUUUAAAUACCUUCAAAUAUAAAUUCAAAUUUUAUCAUCAGUAAAGCAUUAAAAAAUUGUUACUACUGUUAAUAUUUUUUCAAGUAAAAUAAAAUAAAAAUCUA
Phymastichus coffea is the source of this 6760-nucleotide long non-coding RNA. RefSeq lists it as uncharacterized. The transcript is spliced from 4 exons. Lineage: Eukaryota; Metazoa; Arthropoda; Insecta; Hymenoptera; Eulophidae. The record is from RefSeq and is a predicted model, not a curated record.